UACGAAGGGUGCAAACGUUGCUCGGAAUCAUUGGGCGUAAAGCGCACGUAGGCGGCUUCGCAAGUCGGAUGUGAAAUACCUAGGCUCAACCAAGGACGUGCAUCCGAAACUGCGAGGCUUGAGUACAGAAGAGGAUCGCGGAAUUCCCGGUGUAGAGGUGAAAUUCGUAGAUAUCGGGAGGAACACCAGUGGCGAAGGCGGCGAUCUGGGCUGAUACUGACGCUGAGGAGCGAAAGCAUGGGGAGCGAACAGG
This 253-nucleotide ribosomal RNA is filed under the name uncultured bacterium. RNAcentral describes it as "partial 16S ribosomal RNA". It matches the Rfam family "Bacterial small subunit ribosomal RNA", at positions 524 to 776 of the family's 1533-position model. The record is from RNAcentral.